Aegilops tauschii subsp. strangulata is the source of this 778-nucleotide non-coding RNA. NCBI's taxonomy places the organism in Eukaryota, Viridiplantae, Streptophyta, Magnoliopsida, Poales, Poaceae. The record is from RefSeq and is a predicted model, not a curated record.
CAUCUCUUGCCUCGACCCCCUGUUCCGCCGCCGCCCGACCUGAGCGCUGGCCGCAUCGCCGCCACAGAGAGGCCGUGCCGCCGCCGCUCGAGUCCACACGAAGCGUCGCAUCCGCUCGAUUCCAUACCUCCACGGCUCCACCGGCCGCUCUAGUCCACAGCCCACGCCGCCUCCUAUCGGCGCUCGAAUCCACUCGUCGACCGGCCGCAGGAGCUGCCGCCCGAUUCCACAGAAGGAAGACAGGGAGACGGCGGGAGCGCAGGACAUCGCCUCCGCCCAACCAUUACCUUUGACGCUGCUUCUCCACAAUCUGGCGGCGGGGGUCGCUGCUUCUCUACGUCGUCAGACUGCGCCAGCUAAGAGCUCAUGCUGAUGAGAUCACUAAUGGACGCAAUUUAAACCCUGAUGUUGUCGAGAGGAUUCAAAAUGAUAAGUUCCACGAAUGGUUCCAAGCUCAUAUAAAGAAAUUGGAGAAGGAAAAUGGCAUCCACAACAUUGAAAAGGAUAUUAGAUUGCUCGCCCGCGGCCCAGUUAAUGCAGCCAAAAUAUAUUGCGCUUUCAACUCCCGAGGCUACCAUUUUAGGCCUAAACGCUUGGAUAAAGAGACACAAAAUAGUGGAGUCAUGGUAACUGCAAAAACAGCUAGUUAUGAUUCAGCACGUGAUGCCAAUCCUGUUUUACAUGAUGUGACGUACUACGGGAGGGUAAUUGAUAUUGUCGAGCUAAACUACUCUGGACAGUUCUCAGUGGUGUUGUUUAAAUGUGAAUGGGUUGAUGU